This 22-nucleotide microRNA is filed under the name Picea abies (Norway spruce). Its description in RNAcentral is "pab-miR3627d". Lineage: Eukaryota; Viridiplantae; Streptophyta; Pinopsida; Pinales; Pinaceae. The record is from miRBase by way of RNAcentral.
UGCGCAGGGGAGAUGAUACUGU